Molecule: ribosomal RNA, 253 nt
Filed under: uncultured bacterium
Lineage: Bacteria
Description: partial 16S ribosomal RNA
Rfam family: Bacterial small subunit ribosomal RNA
Source: RNAcentral
UACGGGGGGGGCAAGCGUUGUUCGGAAUUACUGGGCGUAAAGGGCUCGUAGGCGGCCAACUAAGUCGGAUGUGAAAUCCCCGGGCUUAACCUGGGAAUGGCAUUUGGGACUGCAAGGCUGGAGUGUGGCAGAGGAGACUGGAAUUCCUGGUGUAGCAGUGAAAUGCGUAGAUAUCAGGAGGAAUACCGAUGGCGAAGGCAGGUCUCUGGGCUGACACUGACGCUCAUGCACGAAAGCGUGGGGAGCAAACAGG